RNAcentral lists this ribosomal RNA (489 nucleotides) under uncultured bacterium. Its description in RNAcentral is "partial 16S ribosomal RNA". It matches the Rfam family "Bacterial small subunit ribosomal RNA", at positions 29 to 507 of the family's 1533-position model. The record is from RNAcentral.
AUGAACGCUAGCUACAGGCUUAACACAUGCAAGUCGCGGGGCAGCAUGGGGGUUGCUUGCAAUCCCCGAUGGCGACCGGCGCACGGGUGAGUAACGCGUAUCCAACCUGCCCUUCACCACGGGAUAACCCGGCGAAAGUCGGACGAAUACCGUAUGUUGUCCAUUGACGGCAUCCGAUUUGGACGAAAGGCUUGGCGGUGAGGGAUGGGGAUGCGUCCGAUUAGCCAGACGGCGGGGUAACGGCCCACCGUGGCUACGAUCGGUAGGGGUUCUGAGAGGAAGGUCCCCCACACUGGAACUGAGACACGGUCCAGACUCCUACGGGAGGCAGCAGUGAGGAAUAUUGGUCAAUGGGCGUAAGCCUGAACCAGCCAAGUAGCGUGCAGGAUGACGGCCCUAUGGGUUGUAAACUGCUUUUAUGCGGGGAUAAAGUGGCCCACGUGUGGGCUUUUGCAGGUACCGCAUGAAUAAGGACCGGCUAAUUCCGUG